Molecule: ribosomal RNA, 253 nt
Filed under: uncultured bacterium
Lineage: Bacteria
Description: partial 16S ribosomal RNA
Rfam family: Bacterial small subunit ribosomal RNA
Source: RNAcentral
UACGUAGGCAGCGAGCGUUGUUCGGAAUUACUGGGCGUAAAGAGUGUGUAGGCGGUGCUCUAAGUUCGGUGUGAAAUCUCCCGGCUCAACUGGGAGGGUGCGCCGGAUACUGAGGGGCUAGAGUGUGGGAGAGGAAAGUGGAAUUCCUGGUGUAGCGGUGAAAUGCGUAGAUAUCAGGAGGAACACCGGUGGUGUAAACGGCUUUCUGGACCAUAACUGACGCUGAGGCACGAAAGCGUGGGUAGCAAACAGG